AUGCGCCGGGCCGGCAUCCCGCACUCCAACCUCUGCGCCACCUGCAGCCGCUACAUGCACGUCUUCCGCCACCGCUGCCUCGUCUGCGGCCGCGCCUACUGCCGCCGCUGCGUGGGCGCUGGCAUGGGCGACAUGACCGAGGGCCGCAAGUGCCUCGGUUGCCUCGGCCGCAAGUACAGCCACCGCUACAUCCACCGCGCCGGCCGGGGCGCCACUGCCGCCGCGGGCCUCCUCUGCCUCUGCUGCUGCGCGCUCCACGCCUGGGGCUCCUCCUCCUCCGUCAGGGCGGAGGAGCUGCUCUGGGCUGAGAAGGGCCCCGCACCGCGCCGCCGGCCCUCGUCUUCCUCCACCACUUCCAUCUCCGCGUCCUACAGCACGGCCGCGGGUGGCGGCGGGGGAUACUCGGCGUCCAUGAGCAUGACCAUGAUGAGCAUCAACAGCGGCGCCAGCAACAGCAACGGGCACGGUCACAGGAACAGCAACGUCGUCGUCGUGGCGCCGCCGCCUGCAUCCUUCUCCCGCGGCAGCGCCAACCCGCACGCCUUCCCUCUCUAA
RNAcentral lists this ribosomal RNA (555 nucleotides) under Triticum aestivum (bread wheat). RNAcentral describes it as "partial small subunit ribosomal RNA". The record is from RNAcentral. Lineage: Eukaryota; Viridiplantae; Streptophyta; Magnoliopsida; Poales; Poaceae.